Molecule: ribosomal RNA, 253 nt
Filed under: uncultured bacterium
Lineage: Bacteria
Description: partial 16S ribosomal RNA
Rfam family: Bacterial small subunit ribosomal RNA
Source: RNAcentral
UACGAAGGGGGCUAGCGUUGUUCGGAAUCACUGGGCGUAAAGGGCGCGUAGGCGGCUUUAUAAGUCGGGGGUGAAAGCCUGUGGCUCAACCACAGAAUUGCCUUCGAUACUGUAUGGCUUGAGACCGGAAGAGGUAAGUGGAACUGCGAGUGUAGAGGUGAAAUUCGUAGAUAUUCGCAAGAACACCAGUGGCGAAGGCGGCUCACUGGCCCGAUACUGACGCUGAGGUGCGAAAGCGUGGGGAGCAAACAGG